Molecule: ribosomal RNA, 492 nt
Filed under: uncultured bacterium
Lineage: Bacteria
Description: partial 16S ribosomal RNA
Rfam family: Bacterial small subunit ribosomal RNA
Source: RNAcentral
AGUGAACGCUGGCGGUAGGCCUAACACAUGCAAGUCGAACGGCAGCACAGUAAGAGCUUGCUCUUACGGGUGGCGAGUGGCGGACGGGUGAGGAAUACAUCGGAAUCUACUUUUUCGAGGGGGAUAACGUAGGGAAACUUACGCUAAUACCGCAUACGACCUACGGGUGAAAGCAGGGGAUCUUCGGACCUUGCGCGAUUGAAUGAGCCGAUGUCGGAUUAGCUAGUUGGCGGGGUAAAGGCCCACCAAGGCGACGAUCCGUAGCUGGUCUGAGAGGAUGAUCAGCCACACUGGAACUGAGACACGGUCCAGACUCCUACGGGAGGCAGCAGUGGGGAUUAUUGGACAAUGGGCGCAAGCCUGAUCCAGCCAUACCGCGUGGGUGAAGAAGGCCUUCGGGUUGUAAAGCCCUUUUGUUGGGAAAGAAAAGCAGCAGGUUAAUACCCCGCUGUUCUGACGGUACCCAAAGAAUAAGCACCGGCUAACUUCGUG